This 464-nucleotide ribosomal RNA is filed under the name Vreelandella stevensii. RNAcentral describes it as "partial 16S ribosomal RNA". It matches the Rfam family "Bacterial small subunit ribosomal RNA", at positions 338 to 795 of the family's 1533-position model. Lineage: Bacteria; Pseudomonadati; Pseudomonadota; Gammaproteobacteria; Oceanospirillales; Halomonadaceae. The record is from RNAcentral.
CCUACGGGGGGAGCAGUGGGGAAUAUUGGACAAUGGGCGAAAGCCUGAUCCAGCCAUGCCGCGUGUGUGAAGAAGGCCUUCGGGUUGUAAAGCACUUUCAGUGGGGAAGAAAGCCUUGGGGCUAAUACCCUCGAGGAAGGACAUCACCCACAGAAGAAGCACCGGCUAACUCCGUGCCAGCAGCCGCGGUAAUACGGAGGGUGCGAGCGUUAAUCGGAAUUACUGGGCGUAAAGCGCGCGUAGGCGGUCUGAUAAGCCGGUUGUGAAAGCCCCGGGCUCAACCUGGGAACGGCAUCCGGAACUGUCAGGCUAGAGUGCAGGAGAGGAAGGUAGAAUUCCCGGUGUAGCGGUGAAAUGCGUAGAGAUCGGGAGGAAUACCAGUGGCGAAGGCGGCCUUCUGGACUGACACUGACGCUGAGGUGCGAAAGCGUGGGUAGCAAACAGGAUUAGAUACCCGAGUAGUC